UCUUGGACUUUUCAGCCUUCAAAACUGUGAAAACCAAUUCUAUUAAUUUAUAAAUUACCUAGUCUGUGAUAUUUUGUUAUAGCAGCACAAAUGACUAAGAUACUUGGACAGCUUAAGAUGUCAAUAAACUCCCAAAAAGAAGGAAUUCGUAAGGACCACAUUGGAUGCAGCAGAUAUAAAUGACCAGACACACAUCAAGUACACCUCAGCCGGGCGAUACAGUAAAGAAAAGGAAGGACAUUUUGUAUAGCCUGUAAGAGAGCAACAAAUAUUAAGAAGAAAAAAUGAAAUGCAACAGGAAAAGGGGUAAGGAAAUACUGGAAGAGCAUCUUUAAAUGGGGAUGGUAGGAGGGGUCCCAUGGAAAGAUCUUUGAGAGGCGGAGGUCCUUUGAUCCCAGUGAAUUUGAAUUUUCCAUCUGCUCUGCAUGGACAUUCUUGGGGAGUCUUGGAGAAACCCUAAGAGCAGUACACAUUGCUACCUUACCUUAUAAUACAUAUUUAAUGGAUUAUGUAAAACUUGAAAAUAAAAAUGAAGAGUGCAAUGCUCAGUCCUGGAAUUAUGUGUGGGUCCGUGAGGCCAAGGUUCCCGGCUGUUUUUCAGCUAAACAGUGCGUGGGAAGGACAAGUGAUCUGCUUCCGGACAGUCCAGUAGGAGGAAAUGAACAUUUCAGCCCAGCUCGUUGGUGUCUUCCAGGAAAGCACCAGUGAUCUCUUGAACAAAUAGCAUGCCUUGUUCUAAAGUUUGUUGUGAAGUUUACCCAAAGGGAAGAUCUGACAGGAUGUCUAGUGUUUUACUAACUACCUCCAUUAGUCAUUGUUGCUGCUAGGUCAAGCAAUGUGGGUUUUGUGGGAAACCUCUAAAGCUUUGAAGGGGCCUGCGCUUCUUUGUUCUUUUUCUUUACAUGUAUGUGACUUUGGGCCAGAAAAUUUAUUUCUGUCCCUUAAAUAUCUUUUUAUUCCUGAUCUGUUGAAUGAAAGACACAGGAACCUAUUGGACAGUAAGAUCUAUUACCUAAAUUGGUAAACUCUGAGCUUCUUGAGGGUAGGAAUUAUGGCUUAUUCAUAUUUGAAUCUAACUCAGAAGCUAUAACCAUGACUUGCAUGUUGUAGUUGUGCAAUACAUGUCUGUUACAAGCUGAAUAAAUGUGAUUUUUCCAUGUGGCUACUUUAGGAAUAAUGGACACACAAAAAGGAUACCAUGGAAAGUAUUCUCAUAUGUGCACAGUAUGCAUCCUUAGCCCAAGAAAGUAUAAGCCCAUCAACUACAACUUUUAUUUUAAAAUAGGCAAGAAAAUCUAAUAUGCCAGAUCAUCUUUCACUGAAUUUGAGAGUAGAAUAAAAAUAAGUAACCAAAUAGCAAGCAAUAAAGUUUACUUCUAUUACUGUUUUGAUUCUUAGUAUUCAUUUUUACUUCAGACAAAAACUUUUCCUUUACAUAAUAGGCAUAAUUAUUAGCAGAAAAUUAUAUUUAGGGAGGAAGUUAACACCUGCAAACCCAAACCACAAAAUGUUUGGUGGGCUUUACAAAUAAAUAAUUUUGUUCACCUCUCUUAGUGAGCCAUUUGCCCCCAUAUUUUGCAGUUUUUCUUUUCUUAUUUUUAAUGUGCAAAAGUUAGUAAAUGUUGGAAACAAAAACGUGAAGGCUCACUUAUGUUUUGCUUUUUAAAAUGGGAAAAUGAGAAUGGAAAUUAAAGAGCAGUGGAUCACUGUUUUGUCUGCCCUGGUUCCUCUGAAACUUCCUGUAAUUUUUUUUUUCCCAAGUACUGAGUGAAGAGUUAUGUCUGACACUCUGGAGAAAAAUGUUACUAACAUAGGGAUGACACUGAAAUACUCAGGCAACAGUUAUCUGAGUGUAUUUGUCAUUUUAAGUAGAAUCUGGCAGUAAUUCAUCUAUAUCUACAACAAAAAUGUGCAGGUUUUGGGAAGAAGUGAGCUUUUAAAAAAAGUCAUAUUUCCUUUUGUCUCUGAAAGACUGAAUGUUUUCAGUACUACGGCUAAUAAAAUUAGUUUGUGGCAUUUCUCCACUUUCUUAUAGAAAUAGCCACACUUACCUACUCUGACCAAUCCUAAAUGUCUUUUCUGUGUUUAUUUAUUUCUAGCAUUGGGGUUAAGGUAGGAAUACAGUAGACAAAAGUAACUUUAUUUGAUUGCAAAAUGAAGUUUCAGAUGGAAAAACUCUAAAAAACAACAACAAAAAAGAAAUUUAUGCUCAAUAGUUUCAAUUGUCCUUGGGGAAAAGUCAAUUAUCUGCAUAUAUUAUAUAACCUUUUUACGAUCUGGCCCUGCUGACCUGUCAGGCUUGCUCCUUGAUGCUUCAAUGACAUUGAAGUGCUGACAGUUCUCUGAAAUUCUUCCACCUUGCCUGACUCCUCCGUCUUUUUUACCUGGCCAAUUCGCAUGCAUUUUUCAGGUCUUAAUGAGAUGUCACAAUCUCUGGACAGCCUCCCCUGAUUCCCCAAGCCUGGGGUAAACUUCGUGUACCACCAAAGCAUCCUGUAACCUCUGUCAUAUCACAUUAUUCAUAAGUUCUAUGGAGGCAGAGGGUGUAUGGUCUGCACUUCACCCAGCCACAUUUAGCCCAGUACUUAGGAUUCAGUAAGGCCAAAGCAAACACACAUUAAGUAAAGAACAAAAACUUGAAGUGCAAACAACUCUAGUCACUGAAUUGAUAAAUAGUGUCUCUUGCUGUACUAUAAGCUCUAUCAGUGGAGGAACCGUGUCUGUUUUUCUCACCAUUUUAUCCUCUGUGUUUAUCACAGUGCUUUACACAUAGGAGCUGCUCAGUAAAGAGGGGUUUAAUGAGUGAAUUAAUUGACCAUAGUUAUAUCAGUGUCUUUAAGAUAAAUACUAGGAAAGAAUAGUUAUUUAAAAUUUAAACGAAGUCACCUUGUGUCCAUUUUUCCCAGGUGUGACAGACUGGUUAUUUACUACAAACUUUCUUUUACAUUUGAUUUGUUACAUGACUUCAGUUAGAUCAGAUUUUCUCAAGCUUGGGACUGAUGACAUAUGGACUGGAUGAUUUUUUGGUGUGCAUGUGUAUUUAUGUAUGUUUGGGGGGUGUAGGCUGUUGAGCAGCAUCCCUCGCUUCUACUAAUUAGAUACCAAUAGCACAUCCUUCAUACACAGCUGUGACAAAUGGAAAUCUCUCCAGACUUUAUAUGUAUUUGAGAACCAUAGAGGAUGCAUGUUUGUGUAGAGGGAUUUGUUGAGCAAUUCAUAUUUGUGUCAAGAGAUAGCUUAUUAGGUUAAGGAUAGCAAUUUUUGUUUUUAAGAGAAAAAAAUCUCUGUACAGCCUUGUAUGGUCAAUAUACCUGACAGCAAUAACUUAAGCACAGCCUGAGAAUGACCCUGUAUGGCAGAUGCACCUGAAUGAGGGUUUAGCGUUCCGAGCUAAGGAAUCUGUGAGUAGCCAACCUGGAGAGUCAUUCCUUACCAAUUAGAAACAUCUGAGCCCCUCUCCCCCACCCCAGCCCAUCGCAUGGAAUGAGAGCCAUGCAGGGGAUUGAGGCCCUUUGUUUUGAGUUUAAUGAACGUUGCCAGGUGGAGGUUGUUGGGGGAGGGUGCUCAGUGAAGGUGCUGUAUAAACUGCAUGCUUUUUUCAAGCGGUUGCAGUUCUCCUGUCCAUCACACUGCCACUGGACUGCCCCUCUAUGUAAGUUUCAGGCUAGUAAAACCCUGUGUAUCCUUUGCUGUUUCUGAGUCUCUUUUUUGGACUCUUGAACCUGGUGCCAUCCCUACUGAAGUUAAUAGGAGUCUGGCACAAUAAGGGUCUGGGCUGUGUGUAAAAAGCAGAGCUUGUGCUAUGAUUGUGUAGUUGAGUCCAAAAGCAGAGUCAGGGGAUAGGUGAGGGUGGGAUUCUGCAGCCCGAGCCACCCCCCAGGUCACCUGCCCUCAAAUGCCAAUGCCUUUAUCUGGAGGAAGGGCAUCGUUUCUCCAAUGUAUCUUUCCCAGUGGAGGUAUCCGUUCUAUUUCAUCCCUUCAACACUAGCAGUGGCCUUGGUUAGAAUUAUUGUACUUAUCAUUUUGCCAAGUUUUUGUUGUUGUACCUUUAUGAUUGCUAAUGGUGAAACCUGGUUCCACUCUUCCACAGCCUCCAUUCAAAGGAAACUUUAUGACGUGGUAUUUUUGAUAGAAUUAAAGAAAUCUCUGACUAGCCAAAUAAGAAAAGAGAUUAGCAUACUUAGCUAUGUGCUCUGUAUCAGCUUGGGUCCCUGGGUCAUAGAUAUGUGAGUUACAUGAUUUACUUUGAGUAAGGCUCAGAUUUUUUAAAUCUAAGCUAACCUAUUUUUAUUGAAUUAAGUUUAUAGGUCAGGAAAUCUUGAUUGGCUUUCUGGGAUGCAAUCUUCUUAGCUUCUCACAGGACUUAGAGAAUGCAACUAUGAAGACCCCUACAAUUUGCUUUUGAAAAAAUAUUCAGGUUCAUUUGCUUUUGAGAAAGGCUUGUGAACUAUUUAGACCUUUACAGCAUGAACACAAAGUUGAAAAUAACACAAGGGAGGAAAUCCUCAUGAGGUUUCUGGUACUUCCUGCCAUGGUCAGGCCAUAAAUAACAUGAAAGAAUCAUGCCUUUGGUAUUUGAGCACUUCCAUGUUCAGUGGUAAAGACAACUGGAAGUGCAGAGGUGUGAGAAAAAUGUAGAAUUUCCAUAAUGAGCAUGAACUGGAAUUAUGGUUUGGGAUUUGUGUAAACUCUGGACUUUGCCAUUAAGACCCAAAUUUUUGUUCCACUGAGAACUUCUCCUCCAGCCUUUGCUAGUUGCUCUGUCAUGUGAAUCGAUGGAAAUAUAAAUUAUUUAAUUGAAGCUUGUAAUGCGUGUACACAGACUUAAAGUUUCUCUGAAGCCUAUCUCAAAAAUAUAUGGCAGUACUGACCAUUUUUAUACGAAUAUUUAAAAAGUAGUAUUGAUAUAACAAAAGGGUGGUAUUGAUCUAGAAAAGGAUGUUAUUGGUAGUUGUUCCAAAAAAAAACUCAACUAGAUGCACCUAUAUAUACCUAACAAAGCAAUACCAAAUGCCAGUGCUAUUGCAGGUCUAAGAAAACUAACAAGGAAAUAAUUGUUCAGAUUUUUUCAUUGAGUUGUCUAACAUAAGUUUAAGUCGACUCAUUUCUGGCUACGAUAACAUUUUAACAUUGGUCCCAGUUCCUGAGCCUAGGAAAGAAUAGCAGGUCUUUGUGCCUUAAUGAAUAUCAUGCCUAGAGCUGACUACUAAUGCAAAUCUAUUAUUAGAGGUUGAAGUGAGCCAAUUGAUAUGAUCUUAGUGAUCAGAAAAUAAUUGUGGAAUUAGUGUCAAAAAAUGUGUGUGUGUGACUUUAAUAUUUAUGUCUGAACUUGUAUCCAAGGCAUUGAUAGAAACCCGUGAAAGGUAACUGAUACAGUCAACGUCUUUCCCUUUCAAGCCCCCAUCGUUUUCCUUACCAGAUACUCUCCUUUCUCCUGAGCUUCUAUCCUGUGAAAAGUCCUAUUUAAGGGUACCUAUUAUAAUUCUGCCCAAAGUAUCUGCAGAUAAGACUUUAUGCCCCUAAUAUUAGAGACACUGGACUCUAGGAAGCCUUUUCCUAGAAGGCAAAGUGGUGAGUUUGGUGUUGUGAACCAGCAAAUGAAGAGUCAGGAGGUCGGCCUGGACCCCUAUAAAUCAGAUGGCAGAGGCCAUCUCAUGAGAUGGGCCUUGCCCCUUGGAACUCUUUUUAAGUCAAAUAUCUAAAUAUUUGCAUGCCUUCCCAAGUUACUUCUGUUAAUUUUUACAUUUUUACAAAAAGAAAAUUAGCCAAAACAAUACUAAAAAUAGCCACUGGCCUAUUGGCCUACAUAAGUGAUAAUUGGUGGUAUUUAUGUGGGAAAAAGAGACCCUUUCUACCCUUUAUUCCUAACAGAAAGAAAUUAAUUUGCAAGCUCUAUACAAAAGCAAAUACCUAUUAAGGAGAGAAAAGCAAGAAGGUAAUAUAUCACUUGGCACAUAUUUUGCUUAAUUAUUAUAUGCUUUUUUCUUUCUGUAUCUGUCUCAUUUUAGUGAAGAAAACAAUUUGGUGGUAGCUUGCUUUGAAAUAGGUCCCACAGCUUUUUGUUGUUUUCUUCCAACUCCCCUUUGCUUCAGUUAGUUUCACUCAGCAGCUUAUUAUCACUUAAACUAUCUUCUGGUCAACUAUUUAUCGUUAUUAACCUUGCUUUUCCAGAGUUAUAUUGUCCAGUAUGAUGGAGCAGGUACAUCUGUGAAUGUGUUGAACCACAGUUUCCAAAGCCUUUCUACAUAGAGUAUUAACCUAUAGUUACAUGAGAUCAAAUGAUUAAGAUGGAAACAGACCUCCUCAGAUGUUCAAAAUUAUCAUUGGUGUAGUCUUUUGAUGAUCAGUAGUUGAAAAAAAAAUAACCCAAACCUCAGCCCAUUGCAAAUGUCAAGUAAUAAUUGUGGCAGAAUACAAGCACCUGAAUUCCGAGCACAAAGGAAGAAGCGUGUUGCCGAUAGCAUUAUAAAUGGCCAUUCUCUACUUCAGCUGUCGACCGUGUAGCAUAUAAUCACAGUGUAUGCUCCAGUUCUGAAGCAGUCGCAACUUACCUGAAAAGUGUAGCUUUCUGACAUUUUUCAAGAUAAAAGAAUAACAAGCAAAAAUGAACAUGAAAAUAUAAAUUCAUUUACUUUUAAGAAUACUGUAUGUUUUUGUAUGUGACUAAAUUAACAUACUCAGAAGUAUUUUUUUAAAACUCCCUUCCCCAGUAUGUAUUUUUUAAUGUGUUUGGAAAAUAUAACACAUGGUAAUAAUUUUAGAAGUUUGGCCACUUUAGCCCCUUACUUGACAGUCUGUCUCAGGCAGUUUGUGGAAUGCCUUCUUUCACAGUUCCUCCAUGACUUUCUCCUUGAGGGACCCAGUCAUACAUUAGGCAAAGGUGGAGAAGGAGGUUCCUUCUACCUUUAGUUAUUUGCCACAUUGAUUAACUUUGGUGCCACAAAUCCCUGUCAUUAGGUAAUCAGUAACAAGAUACAAUGAUAAUUUUAGAAUAAAAUACAUGAAUUCCAUUUGAGUCACUUCUUUGGGUUAAGGUUAUAAGAAGGCAUUGUUAAAACACACAUGUCUUACCCAGGCUGGAUAAGCCAUUGACACAUUUGAAUCCAUUAUAAAGAUGGUUUGGGUGAUUUUCUGAUUGCUAUCAUGAAAAGCAGAAAAAAGGAACUAGAGGGCCUUGAAUAAAAUUCAGUACAUUUUGUUAUGAGAUGAGAAGUAGUAGGAAGAAGGGAAAAGCUGCAUUGUGAAGUGAGAGCCUUUGUGGGUUGUCUGAGAGAAAACCGGGAGCCCUGAACAUGGAGAGGUUCACACUGAGUUGUUGGGAGAGGGCAGUGACAUACUGAAGUCAGCUUAUGACUGUGGUGUUUUUUGUAGAGCUGGCAGAGAAAGACAGGAAACUAUUUUUACGCAACUAGCCAGUUUUAGCUGUGUUAAUGGAAGAACUCUGUUUUUACUGUAAUAAUUAACAACAAAAAUGACUUACAUUAUCUAACCUUUUAAAAUUCAUAAGAUAGACUCAAAGUACCCUGAAGUGAAUGUAGCCAUGACUGUGGAAGGUAGUAUUACACCCCACAUUGGAGAAUAAAAUGAGGAAUAAAGCAAGUUUAACAGUCCAAGUUUUAUUAGCUAGGGGAAAAAAUUGGCUUCUUAUUUUUAAGUGUUCUUAUAUAUUAAAUUUUAAAUUAUUGUUAAGUAAAGCAAGUAGGAGAAGUACAGAAUCCCACUGUGUAGAGGAAACUACUAUUAAUACAUUAGUUGCAUCUUUCUAGUUCUUUGAAAAAUAUUUUUUAAAAAAUAUUAAGUAUGUAUUUGGUAUACAUUUUUGGCCAUGCAUUUUAAUCUAUUAUUAUAACUUCUUUUUCCCAUUUAACAACAAUUUUUUUGUGUGUGUAUACGAAUUUUUUUGUUUGUUUGUUUGUUUUAAAUCUCCUGCUAGUCACACCAUUGGUGAGGGAUGAAUCCAGGUUAUGGGAUGGCUGAAUACAUGGCACCCAACCUGGACAGAUGAGAUUGGUAGCAGUUUACUGGUGUCCUAAACUCGGAGCCCAGGGUAGGAGGACACUGUGCCAUGCAGGGCCACAUGAAGGUUACAAUCAAGAACGGUAUAAGUAAUAGGAACUGUGGGAGAUGGACUUUGUAGUAUUAAGAGGGAAGGUGUCCCCUGGUUCCCACAGGAGGAUGUCAUUGGCUUGCUUGUUUGAAUAAUUUUCUGCGGCUGGUGGGAAACUGAAAAGUUACUCAAGGCUAGGCAGAAACAACACCCAGCCUCCUCCCAUCUUGAUAAAGAGAUUUAAUAAGAUAAAGAGAUUGAUAAAGAGGUUUGGAUCUGGAACCUUAUCACUGGAGGCAGAGUGGGGAGGAUGACUUGUGGUUAUGACAUUUGAAGCCUUCCUGAUUUCACCAGACAUCAAGGUAGACAUAAUAUUGGACCUUAAUUUUAGACUUUACACCACAUUUUUAUGAAGAUGUAAUCUAUCAAUAAAUUGAAUUUUUGCAGGCAUUGAUAACAUAAUGUUCCAAUUCUUAUCUUUGGGUAAAAAGAUUUAUAUGGUUUUAAUAUUAAUAUUUUCAUAUUCAAUAUUAGGGCCUCAAGAGAAAAUAUUGUCAAGAGAAAUGAAUUGUUUUAUCUCUUGAUACAUAUUUUCAAAUGAUGUUGAAACAAAAUUUCUGACAUUUAAGUUUAAACCUUUUUACUAUACUAUAUUGCUUCUGCCAAUGAUUGUGACAAUGAAAUAAUCUUAAAGAAACUACCUUUUCAUUAAAUCACUGUCCAUAAAGUUUAUGUGACAGCUUACUUUGUGAUUAUAUUGGAAUAUAAGUGCUUUGAUUCACCAGGUUGGGGUUGGCAGAGUGAAAAUUAAGGCCAAACUUUACUCAACAAGAAUGACAUUUUAGUGAAACACUAGUACAAUUCUUGAGAGAAAAUAAAUCAGAAGUUUCAGUCAAAUCUCAACAUAAAUACAGGCCAAAUCUCUUUUAAAAUAAAUUCUUGUUUACCUGAAACUGAUCUCUUCUUAAAUAUUAAUAACUAAUAGUUUUAUUUCAAUUUAUAUUUCCUUGGAAUUAUACAUAUUGAAUUUCAAAAG
RNAcentral lists this long non-coding RNA (9083 nucleotides) under Homo sapiens (human). Its description in RNAcentral is "HSALNT0326513". The record is from RNAcentral. Lineage: Eukaryota; Metazoa; Chordata; Mammalia; Primates; Hominidae.